UUUGUCAUAAUCAGUUCAAUAGUUUUAGUAAAAUCUGGUAUAAUGAAAGACGAGAUUUACAGCAGUACGAGAAAUUUCUUCGACAAUUCCAAACCAAACCGCAUCAUUAUAGAAUAUAUGAUGUGGUCCAAUAAAUGAUCAAAUAUUUAUCUCUUCUGCCUACAAACAAUUGAAUAUGAUACAAAAGAUGAUUUUGGGAAGAUGAAUACCACUAAUGGACCUCUGAGUCUUCUUUAUAAGGUCUCUUUUGGUCCAUUUAUACCUCUCAUUUCCUCAAAAUUUCCACUUUUC
This 291-nucleotide long non-coding RNA is filed under the name Mytilus galloprovincialis (Mediterranean mussel). Lineage: Eukaryota; Metazoa; Mollusca; Bivalvia; Mytilida; Mytilidae. The record is from RNAcentral.